Molecule: ribosomal RNA, 477 nt
Filed under: uncultured bacterium
Lineage: Bacteria
Description: bacterial SSU rRNA
Rfam family: Bacterial small subunit ribosomal RNA
Source: RNAcentral
AUUGAACGCUGGCGGAAUGCUUUACACAUGCAAGUCGGGCGGCAGCGCGGGGGCAACCCUGGCGGCGAGCGGCGAACGGGUGAGUAACACAUCGGAACGUACCCUGUCGUGGGGGAUAACGAAUCGAAAGAUUCGCUAAUACCGCAUACGACCUGAGGGUGAAAGCGGGGGAUCGCAAGACCUCGCGCGAGAGGAGCGGCCGAUGGCGGAUUAGCUAGUUGGUGGGGUAAAGGCCCACCAAGGCGACGAUCCGUAGCGGGUCUGAGAGGACGGCCCGCCACACUGGGACUGAGACACGGCCCAGACUCCUACGGGAGGCAGCAGUGGGGAAUUUUGGACAAUGGGGGAACCCUGAUCCAGCCAUGCCGCGUGAGGGAAGAAGGUCCUCUGGAUUGUAAACCUCUUUUGGCAGGAAACAAACCUGCGCUAUACGCGCAGCUGAGGGUACCUGCAGAAUAAGCACCGGCUAACUCCGUG